RNAcentral lists this ribosomal RNA (252 nucleotides) under uncultured Paenibacillaceae bacterium. RNAcentral describes it as "partial 16S ribosomal RNA". It matches the Rfam family "Bacterial small subunit ribosomal RNA", at positions 524 to 776 of the family's 1533-position model. Lineage: Bacteria; Bacillati; Bacillota; Bacilli; Caryophanales; Paenibacillaceae. The record is from RNAcentral.
UACGUAGGGGGCGAGCGUUGUCCGGAAUUAUUGGGCGUAAAGCGCGCGCAGGCGGCUGUUUGAGUCUGGUGUUUAAUCCUGGGGCUCAACCCCGGGUCGCACUGGAAACUGGACGGCUUGAGUGCAGAAGAGGAGAGUGGAAUUCCACGUGUAGCGGUGAAAUGCGUAGAGAUGUGGAGGAACACCAGUGGCGAAGGCGACUCUCUGGGCUGUAACUGACGCUGAGGCGCGAAAGCGUGGGGAGCAAACAGG